Molecule: ribosomal RNA, 256 nt
Filed under: uncultured bacterium
Lineage: Bacteria
Description: partial 16S ribosomal RNA
Rfam family: Bacterial small subunit ribosomal RNA
Source: RNAcentral
GCUGACGAGUGGCGAACGGGUGAGUAACACGUAGGUGAUCUGCCCAUUGGUUGGGGAUAUACUGUGGAAACAUAGGGUAAUACCGAAUAGGCUUACCGGACCUUGGUCUGGAGAGCAAAGGGGCUUCGGCCUCGCCAGUGGAUGAGCCUGCGGCUGAUUAGCUAGUUGGUGGGGUAAAGGCCUACCAAGGCGACGAUCAGUAGCCGGCCUGAGAGGGUGAUCGGCCACACUGGGACUGAGAUACGGCCCAGACUCC